CGAAACAGUGAUUGUCAACUGUUUAGUUCGGACGAAUUAGGUAGGUUAGUUUGUUGCGUGAUUUUGAGUCUGAUUUGCGACUCCGUCUUAUUUUGUGUUAAUUUCCGCGGGUUGACCGAUUAGCAGUGUAAUCGAUUGUUGAGUGAGUAGCGAUCUGUUUUCAGUGUAUAAAAAAUUCCUGUCGCGAAAACAUGUUUUAUUAUAAUACCGGCAACCACGGUGGGGUGAAACAGGUCUUGUGAAAUGAGCGUCUCUGUGACGUAAUACUGACUCUUCGUGCGACAACGCACUACAGAGCGGCGGAGAAUAAUUAUGAGAAUAAUUAAUUUGUGGGAGCUGAAGGGCUGUGAACUUGUCCGUAGAAGACGCCUCGAGGCCUGCAAGCAGAGCAGUCGGACACAUCGCUACCUGAAACGGAUUUCAACCCGGUGUAGAAAAUUAGGGUGGAAGGAUUUACUGAACGUGAAUACCAUGCAGCGCGAUUUUAUUCUCUGGAAGGACUUGGACAAUCGAGAUAAAAAGUCUACAUUAGGCAACCCCUUGGGUUGUUUUCGCCCCAAA
Long non-coding RNA from Neodiprion fabricii, 561 nucleotides. RefSeq lists it as uncharacterized. The transcript is spliced from 3 exons. The record is from RefSeq and is a predicted model, not a curated record. Lineage: Eukaryota; Metazoa; Arthropoda; Insecta; Hymenoptera; Diprionidae.